GUUUCGCAACGCUCGAAUCAACACCAAUCCGAGGAUUGAGGAAGAAAUGACUCUCAAACAGGUAUGCCUUCUGGAAUACCAAAAGGCGCAAUGUGCGUUCAAAGAUUCGAUGAUUCACAAAAUUCUGCAAUUCACAUUACUUAUCGCAGUUCGCUGCGUU
RNAcentral lists this ribosomal RNA (160 nucleotides) under Blastobotrys adeninivorans. RNAcentral describes it as "5.8S ribosomal RNA". Lineage: Eukaryota; Fungi; Ascomycota; Dipodascomycetes; Dipodascales; Trichomonascaceae. The record is from RNAcentral.